AGUGAACGCUGGCGGUAGGCCUAACACAUGCAAGUCGAACGGCAGCACAGUAAGAGCUUGCUCUUACGGGUGGCGAGUGGCGGACGGGUGAGGAAUACAUCGGAAUCUACUUUUUCGUGGGGGAUAACGUAGGGAAACUUACGCUAAUACCGCAUACGACCUACGGGUGAAAGCAGGGGAUCUUCGGACCUUGCGCGAUUGAAUGAGCCGAUGUCGGAUUAGCUAGUUGGCGGGGUAAAGGCCCACCAAGGCGACGAUCCGUAGCUGGUCUGAGAGGAUGAUCAGCCACACUGGAACUGAGACACGCUCCAGACUCCUACGGGAGGCAGCAGUGGGGAAUAUUGGACAAUGGUCGCAAGCCUGAUCCAGCCAUACCGCGUGGGUGAAGAAGGCCUUCGGUUUGUAAAGCCCUUUUGUUGUGAAAGAAAAGCAGCAGGUUAAUACCCCGCUGUUCUGACGGUACCCAAAGAAUAAGCACCGGCUAACUUCGUG
Molecule: ribosomal RNA, 492 nt
Filed under: uncultured bacterium
Lineage: Bacteria
Description: partial 16S ribosomal RNA
Rfam family: Bacterial small subunit ribosomal RNA
Source: RNAcentral